Molecule: ribosomal RNA, 253 nt
Filed under: uncultured bacterium
Lineage: Bacteria
Description: partial 16S ribosomal RNA
Rfam family: Bacterial small subunit ribosomal RNA
Source: RNAcentral
UACGAAGGGGGCUAGCGUUGCUCGGAAUCACUGGGCGUAAAGCGCACGUAGGCGGAUCUUUAAGUCAGGGGUGAAAUCCUGGAGCUCAACUCCAGAACUGCCUUUGAUACUGGGGAUCUCGAGUCCGGGAGAGGUGAGUGGAACUGCGAGUGUAGAGGUGAAAUUCGUAGAUAUUGGCUGGAACACCGGUGGCGAAAGCGGCUCUCUGGCCCGGUUCUGACGCUGAGGCGCGAAAGCGUGGGGAGCAAACAGG